RNAcentral lists this ribosomal RNA (1472 nucleotides) under Pseudomonas chlororaphis subsp. piscium. Its description in RNAcentral is "bacterial SSU rRNA". It matches the Rfam family "Bacterial small subunit ribosomal RNA". Lineage: Bacteria; Pseudomonadati; Pseudomonadota; Gammaproteobacteria; Pseudomonadales; Pseudomonadaceae. The record is from RNAcentral.
CAGAGUUUGAUCCUGGCUCAGAUUGAACGCUGGCGGCAGGCCUAACACAUGCAAGUCGAGCGGCAGCACGGGUACUUGUACCUGGUGGCGAGCGGCGGACGGGUGAGUAAUGCCUAGGAAUCUGCCUGGUAGUGGGGGAUAACGCUCGGAAACGGACGCUAAUACCGCAUACGUCCUACGGGAGAAAGCAGGGGACCUUCGGGCCUUGCGCUAUCAGAUGAGCCUAGGUCGGAUUAGCUAGUUGGUGAGGUAAUGGCUCACCAAGGCGACGAUCCGUAACUGGUCUGAGAGGAUGAUCAGUCACACUGGAACUGAGACACGGUCCAGACUCCUACGGGAGGCAGCAGUGGGGAAUAUUGGACAAUGGGCGAAAGCCUGAUCCAGCCAUGCCGCGUGUGUGAAGAAGGUCUUCGGAUUGUAAAGCACUUUAAGUUGGGAGGAAGGGCAGUUACCUAAUACGUAUCUGUUUUGACGUUACCGACAGAAUAAGCACCGGCUAACUCUGUGCCAGCAGCCGCGGUAAUACAGAGGGUGCAAGCGUUAAUCGGAAUUACUGGGCGUAAAGCGCGCGUAGGUGGUUCGUUAAGUUGGAUGUGAAAUCCCCGGGCUCAACCUGGGAACUGCAUUCAAAACUGUCGAGCUAGAGUAUGGUAGAGGGUGGUGGAAUUUCCUGUGUAGCGGUGAAAUGCGUAGAUAUAGGAAGGAACACCAGUGGCGAAGGCGACCACCUGGACUGAUACUGACACUGAGGUGCGAAAGCGUGGGGAGCAAACAGGAUUAGAUACCCUGGUAGUCCACGCCGUAAACGAUGUCAACUAGCCGUUGGGAGCCUUGAGCUUUUAGUGGCGCAGCUAACGCAUUAAGUUGACCGCCUGGGGAGUACGGCCGCAAGGUUAAAACUCAAAUGAAUUGACGGGGGCCCGCACAAGCGGUGGAGCAUGUGGUUUAAUUUGAAGCAACGCGAAGAACCUUACCAGGCCUUGACAUCCAAUGAACUUUCCAGAGAUGGAUUGGUGCCUUUGGGAACAUUGAGACAGGUGCUGCAUGGCUGUUGUCAGCUCGUGUCGUGAGAUGUUGGGUUAAGUCCCGUAACGAGCGCAACCCUUGUCCUUAGUUACCAGCACGUAAUGGUGGGCACUUUAAGGAGACUGCCGGUGACAAACCGGAGGAAGGUGGGGAUGACGUCAAGUCAUCAUGGCCCUUACGGCCUGGGCUACACACGUGCUACAAUGGUCGGUACAGAGGGUUGCCAAGCCGCGAGGUGGAGCUAAUCCCAGAAAACCGAUUGUAGUCCGGAUCGCAGUUUGCAACUUGACUGCGUGAAGUCGGAAUCGCUAGUAAUCGCGAAUCAGAAUGUCGCGGUGAAUACGUUCCCGGGCCUUGUACACACCGCCCGUCACACCAUGGGAGUGGGUUGCACCAGAAGUAGCUAGUUUAACCUUUGGAGGACGGUACCAACCGUUAAUUUUUUC